AGUUGUUUAAAAGGGCCAAAUUUUGGCUAUUCAGCCACUCUAACCCUAGUCCCCGUUUCUUCCUCACCAACCGACCUCUAGCACUCCUCUUCAAGCACCGAUUCACCUCCCUAAAUGGCGAACGGUGUUUUCAUGCCUUGAGGGACAUUUUUUUAGCCUCAUGAUUUCAUUUUGACUUUGAUUUCGACGAAACCAAAAGAGAUCUACGGCAUGUUUGCAAGGUAAGUCCUCUAUUUUAUUUCAUUACACUAAAAAAAACGACAAGAAAGAAAUGAAACAGAUUCGAAGAACAGAAAUAUAAGGUGCUUGAAAUCACCUUUCAAUAAUUUUUGAUUGCUCUUCUAUUUAAUAUGCAUUUCUUUGCGUGUUCUUUUUUUUGUGAGUAAUAUGCCUUUCUGUGUAACCGGUUACAAAGAUUAAAAAUCUUGGCUUUAUAGCUGAAAAGAAAGAAAUAAAUAAAAAAAUACAAUAUUUGUUCCUUUUUGCGUGCGUUCAUCCUUUUUGCAGGUAUUAGUGUGCGUGGCGCGAGUACGGGGGCUGUGCUACCUUACGGAGGCGCGGGCGUGGCUGCUGGAGGGUAUGGAGGCUGGGGCUGCUGUCCGGUUGUGCCGCAAAGGGGAAGAAACCCUAGGAUUCUUGUUCCUAAAAUGUUUCGGGCCAUUUGGGCCUUGUAACUUUGGGCUGUUUUGUAAAAGGGCUAUUGGGUUUAAUUAACAGGCUGAACUUGUUUAAAAACUGGACUGUUGUAACAUUUUUUGUGAUUUAUUUUUGUAUUUAUUUUUGUAUUUUGUUUAUUUUGUCUUUGCACGGGCCCGGGCCAAAAUUGGGCCUUACAAUUAUAAUAUAGAGAAAAAUGGGGACAAAUCCACUUGAUCACAUACCUCAAUUUGCCAAGCCAUUUUUUCCCAUUAAUUGGGAGAAGGCUUUUAUUCAAAAAUGGUAAAAUCGCCAUAUUAGCCACCUAUCUUCCCUCUACUUCACACAAGCUUCCCGACAUCCUUAAUUUCUUAUAAAAAGGUCCAAAAUCCACCCAAAUUAAUUCCAACAAAAACCAAUUCCAA
RNAcentral lists this long non-coding RNA (1061 nucleotides) under Gossypium barbadense (sea-island cotton). RNAcentral describes it as "long non-coding RNA (GBAR_LNC004428)". The record is from RNAcentral. Lineage: Eukaryota; Viridiplantae; Streptophyta; Magnoliopsida; Malvales; Malvaceae.